UGAGGAAGGAGAAGUCGUAACAAGGUUUCCGUAGGUGAACCUGCGGAAGGAUCAUUGUCGUAUCCCCGCCCCGACGGCACACUCGCGAACUGUCCCAUCCCGUCGUCCUCGGUCGGUAGGUAGGUAGGACGCCCCCCCGCGCGGGACGCCGACCGACCGACCGACCGACCGACGAACCUUUUCCGGCGCGGUCCGCGCCAAGGAACACCGACCGACGAGAACGCCCGCGCCGUCCUCGCUCCGUGCCUGGCCGCGCGGGCGCUCCCACGUACAGAAAUCUUAACGACUCCCGGCAACGGAUAUCUAGGCUCUCGCAUCGAUGAAGAACGUAGCGAAAUGCGAUACGUGGUGUGAAUUGCAGAAUCCCGUGAACCAUCGAAUCUUUGAACGCAAGUUGCGCCCGAGGCCGUCAGGCCGAGGGCACGCCUGCCUGGGCGUCACGCCCCGCGUCGCUCCCACUCCCCCCCGCCCCGCGCGGCGGCCGUGGGACGCGGAGAUUGGCCUACCGUGCUGCGGCGCGGCGGGCCGAAGUGCUCGAACCCUUCCCCGUGCGUGGGACGAGAACACGGCGAGUGGUGGAUUGGAUUGGAUCGGAUCGGACCGACCGACUCAUCGUCGCCGCGCCCUUCUCGCCCCGCCGCCCGGCGGGCGGGAUUCACGAAACCCAGCCGCGAGCGGCCGUUCGGAGGCGCCGCGCGCCGCCGACGCCCGCUCCGACCGCGACCCCAGGGCAGGCGGGGCCACCCGCUGAGUUUAAGCAUAUCAAUAAACGAAGGAA
This 778-nucleotide ribosomal RNA is filed under the name Bakoaella sicula. RNAcentral's name for it is "eukaryotic LSU rRNA". The stretch from base 285 to 440 matches the Rfam family "5.8S ribosomal RNA". Lineage: Eukaryota; Viridiplantae; Streptophyta; Magnoliopsida; Alismatales; Araceae. The record is from RNAcentral.